AGGCGCGUAGCUCAGUGGCAGAGCACCGUUACACCGUGACGGCGGUUCAACAAACGUCGUCACGACGCAACUAAGGUCGCAGGUUCGACUCCUGCCGCGCCUACCA
This 106-nucleotide transfer RNA is filed under the name Gammaproteobacteria bacterium. Its description in RNAcentral is "tRNA-OTHER". It matches the Rfam family "tRNA". Rfam says of the family: Transfer RNA (tRNA) molecules are approximately 80 nucleotides in length. Their secondary structure includes four short double-helical elements and three loops (D, anti-codon, and T loops). Lineage: Bacteria; Pseudomonadati; Pseudomonadota; Gammaproteobacteria. The record is from RNAcentral.